This is a non-coding RNA of Myotis davidii, 76 nucleotides long. NCBI's taxonomy places the organism in Eukaryota, Metazoa, Chordata, Mammalia, Chiroptera, Vespertilionidae. The record is from Rfam.
GGCAGUUCUCGGGUAACACAACCAGGAAGCGGACUCCCUCCUCCCUGGUUCCAGGGUGCUUCACCAGAGAACCGCC